CGGUCAGGGAGGUUCAAACGAGAAGGCCUUGUCUGGCCCCAGGAAGCACCCAGGUGCCUCCUCCCUCCAUUUCCCCAUCUCCAGCGGGGCGCUGCCAGGGCGGGCUCCAGGCCUGCCCCAUGCCCCUGCGCACGAGCCUUGAGGCAGGUGGGGUUCCAGCGCGCAGAAGCAGCCCUCAACUGCUCCGAGUGUCUGUUGCUGGCGGUUCAUGGCGGGGAGACGCGCAGCGCGAGAGCAAAGGGCGGUUACCCAAUGGCCUUCGCUCUCAUGGCGUCCUUCUUGGUGUUACCUAAAAAUGAAGCCAAGUGUGAUUAGAAGAAGCUUGAGGAAAACCUCAGCAGUUGAAACCGUGAUGCAGUUCAGCGAAGAAGUAGUUCCUGUCCUCGUAAAAUCAGUGAAAUUCUCACGGAUGACCUCACUGAGACUGAAACCUCAGACACAGGGAGCUGGCCUAUUCACCUUAGAAUCCUCUGGGGUACCCACUACAGUGUCUGCAGCAAGGAGUCAAUAA
This 511-nucleotide long non-coding RNA is filed under the name Macaca mulatta (Rhesus monkey). RNAcentral describes it as "lncRNA (ENSMMUG00000057468.1)". Lineage: Eukaryota; Metazoa; Chordata; Mammalia; Primates; Cercopithecidae. The record is from RNAcentral.